AUGGCAGCAAUGCUUUCUUGCCAUGGUGCUCAGUCCAGUGACGUGUAUGCACCUGGUACCCGCGCCAGAGCUAAUAGACGGCGUUAUAUCCAGAACGAUGAGGACAUGGAGGAGGAGGUCCAUGAAGAGGAGCCAUCACAUCAAGAGGAGCCAACACAAGAUGAGGAGCAUGAGUAUGAUGCAACACAUCAAGAGGAUCAUGAGUAUGAUGUUGAUGCUCCACAACCAUCACAGGUUACACAACCAACACAAGGCAAUGCCCGCUCUAGGAAAGGCAAAGCCAUAGCUAAGACACCAGGCAAGAAAGGUAGAAAGAAGACAUGGAACACACAAUUCCAUAGUCCGGAGUAUCCUCAUCAGCUUAUCCCAACAGGAAUGCAAAGAUAUAAGGCCAACAUUGAGGCGGAGGAGGAGGCAUACAACGAAGAGGAGGAGGAGGCUAGCGAAGAAGAGGAGCCUACACUUGCAGCACUCGUGAAGAGAGGAAGGAGGAAGUGA
Molecule: ribosomal RNA, 498 nt
Filed under: Triticum aestivum (bread wheat)
Lineage: Eukaryota; Viridiplantae; Streptophyta; Magnoliopsida; Poales; Poaceae
Description: partial small subunit ribosomal RNA
Source: RNAcentral